UAUGUGGAAAGUGGGCAGUUUGUUAGCCAGCAAGGUCUGGGGAGGCAAAGAUUUACAUACACUUAAUAGACAGACUCGGUUUCUGGGGCAGAUUCAGAUUCGGUGCUGGGACAUGAGAGGGACACUGCAAGAGCACAGACUAAAAGUGCUUUGUAGAGAGGUGAGCACUUUCUGAUUUGCAGGGAGGCAAGAUCUGAAUUAGGGCUUUUAUGGUCCUAGAGUUAUCAGCGGGAUGAAAAUUUUGUUUCUGGUGUGACUUAUUUCAGUUUAACUGCUGGAAACAUGUCUGUCCUUGCUGGCAUCUCCACUUCACCGAGCCCUGCUUUCAUGCAGUGCAAUGGGGUCUGUAGGGAAGAGCCUUCCCUUUUUCUUCUUCUUUCCCUUAUUUCUGUAUCAGUUUCAGCUGUAUUUCACUUUUUUGAUAGGGAAAAGAAUACUUUAAAUAUUGAGAGGAGUGCCUGGGAAUACAUAGACGUUUGGUUCAGUAGUUACUGUAAAGAGUCCAGACAGUGUUCAGCUGCCCAAGGACGGGCAAGAGAGGACCCAGGCACUGUUGGAAGGGUGGCUUCUAAUGAAGAGGUGGCAGGCGACCUCAUCUCUCCACUCAGAACUUGCUUUCUCUUUCUUCUGCUACUUUGGGCCUCAUCUAAAGAUGAAUUAAUGAGUUAACCUUUAUAAAGGGCUGUAGAAAAUUUCCUUUUCAGGGCAGGAGAACCUACAUUUUCCUCUCUGAACUUGAGGGGUCCUUGAUGCUCCCUCUGCAUCCUCUCUCUCCUGGCUGUGGCAGGUAUCAGGUCCCUUUCUCAGGUGGUUUCCUUCCUUCUCUCCGACCCACUCCUAUGGAAAGGGUGCCUGCACACAGCAUCACCAUGGGAGUCUGCUCUGGUCAGCAGAGCUCUCUCAUCUAACCCUGGUUGCAGCACACUGGAUUGCUGUCCUCUGCCACCAAAGUACUUGAGUGAAGAAGCUCUGCACCCUGGGAGCAUGGAGCUGAUACUGCCCAGGAAGAGGUGGUGGGGAGUAGCCACUAUCUUCCUGCCCAGCUGUGAAGACCUACAAUUUUGGGAAGGCUUUUCUUGCUGUGCCCAGCAUUUGAGAAGCGCUGUAACCAGCAGGAACAUUUAAAGAAAUGUCAGGCACUAUGAAUCUCUGGCAUCUCUGGGAUGAGGACUAAAAUUGCAUCUCUGACAGCUGAUCAGGAAACCAAGAAUUCAUUCACAUACUUACUUCAGAAGCCAGCAUCAGGAGAGGGCAUGAUGGGCACGGACAUGCUCUGACAUCUAUUCAAAUCUGUUCACUGCUCUUCUAAGAAAUAAUCACCUAAUUGUAUUUUCUGCACAUCAAACCACACCAGAGGGAAGAAGUUAUGUACCCUCGGUGCACUGAGUUGCUCUGGAAGUCUGUACAUAAAAAGAAUAUCUAAGGGCUGCCUUCUGAAAAACUGGAGGUACUGAGUUUUGCUGAGAAAGUUUGAAUUGAUAGCUAUAGUUCAUUUUGGAGGCUUAGAUUAGCCUGUAGGUAUUCCAGGCCAGGUCACAAAAUGUAAGAUCCAAGGUGCUGUUUUGUGAGGUGAGCUUGUCUGCAUGGGAGGAUAGACUUAACUCUUUGUGUGGUCUGAAAUAGAAUAUAUGCAUCCAGGAAUUUAAAAAUAUCAUAGACUUCAUCACCUGCUGCUAUAAAAAAAGGUGAGUGAACGGUCACCUGUUUUCUUUCAUAUAUGAAAGAAUGCAAAAGUGCUUCCUGGAAGCACUGCUGAGCUUCAGAGCACAGUAGUAACGCUCAAUUACCCAGUGUCUCAGAAAGCCAACAAGGCUUCAAUGGCUGCAGGUCUUUCCCUUGUGGUAGAGGGGUUGUAAGAAGUAUCAUAUGUCACACCUUCAGCAGUUGUGUGUUUAGUAAAAUGAAUAACGAAACCACUGUUAAAGGAGUGUCUGGGCCUGGGGACAGCUUGUGCUCUUCCACUUAAAGAUUCUUUGCAUUAACAUACUCCUUACCUCCUAAGACAGUGUAGCCACAGCCUGUUUGCCAGAUGCUUUCCGUGGCCAUGUGAAUCCCACAUCCGGGCAGUGGUGGUCCCCCACCUUCAGGGCAGCCACUUCUUGCUGCAGGCCCGUGAUUUGCACAUUCAGAUGAGGAAGAGGAAGCAGGGAGACUCUGGCUCUCCUCCGCUCCCAUGCAAGUGGCAAGUCAGUCCCCUCCUCACUUGCUUUCUUUCUGACCCCAUGUUUGGCAUUUCUGGUUGCAAAUGAGUCCUUCUUUGUCACAGAAAAUUGGGGUCUCUCAACCUUUUGUGCCCUGGAGUCUGAUGAUGGGGGACUUCUUUAGUAAUGAAGAAAACUUGGGUUCAAACUCUCUGAGGCCAUGGACAGCCCUGAUACAGCUACCCCUGAUUAAAGUUUCUCACCACUUGCUUUUUAUUACAAGACUUUGAUUGUUGUGGCUGCCACAUAAUGUUUAAAAUGGUGCCUGCUCUGCUCCAUGAGGUUCCUGGCUCACAGGAGGGCUGUGGGGACUGCUGGUAGCCAGUACCUCUUGUGGGGUACCUGUCAAGUCACUCUCAAGUCAUUGAAGUGAGGUAUGGGUGGAUUCAGAGGUCUAAAUUCUACCUAAGUUGCACUUUGGGCACAGGAGUAAUUUUUUGCUGAGCUGAUUGAACAAAUGUUUAUAUGCAGGUUGGCAAGAAGAAUUUAGUCUAAAAUAGCUCUCAUUCAGGUAAGUAUAAUGAAGAGAUGCUAUAUCCAGCAAUUUAGAGACAAAAAAAUGCAAGCAGCUCUGCACUACUCAUUUUGUGUUCAUGCAAUGCCCUGAAAUUAAAACAUAAGGUUGAAGUAACAGUGACGAUGAUUUCUCUACUUACCACAGAGCUCUUUCAGAAGAAAGUAAUUUAUUUAAGACUACAGUGUGAUUUAACUUGCCAGACCUUUCUCAGAGCUUAAAUAAAACUGCAAUGAUUAUACACGUUCAUCUGUCUCAGCAAGAAAGCCAUCAAUUAUGUUGGUCUGACCUGCCCCUUCCAGCAAAGGAAGGAUACAUUUAGAAUAUGUCACCCACCCACAGAGAAAAUAUAAUUUGGACUAUCUGGAUGAUGACUUCUUUGGGGACCAUUACAGUGUGCUUUCCUGGUUUCUGCUAAUAUAUUAUGCAUUAAUUUUUCAUUUUGAUGCACAGCUUUCGUACCUCAUUGGGAAUUGCUGUUAGCUUAAACCUGUGAAUCCCUAUCCAGAAAAAUUCCUCCCUCUGUUCUCCUCCCCACCAUGGCUUUUGUCUGCUCACGUAUCUGCCCCCCUCACUCUCAGAAAAACUUCUUCCCCUUUUCUAAUUUGACUACUUCUGCUUAACAUCAUUCAGACCCCAGCCAGGUGCCAUCAAUCUCUGGCACUGCCAUUUUCCCAAGAAGUAGAGGGCAGAGGUAAGUACUUGCAAUUCAGCAGUGCCGCGGAGGGUUGUGCUAGCUUUGUAGCAUGAGAUUUGUGGCCACAUUUCUUUCUUUCUUUUUUUUUUUUUAGAAAAUGUGCCAUUUUCUAUUUCCAACAAAUAGUUCAAACAGGUCAAAGUGACUUUUUAAAGUGCAAUACAUGGUUUCUCAGAUUGGACAAUAAAGAGCGCGGAGUAACCAUGCUAUUGUGCUGCCUGCAAACUAAGAAUUGGUGUCGUGUGUCAGAAUUGCCCUAAAGGUACAUAUUUAGUCUGAAAGCAAAGAAUUUCUGUUAAAGGCACUGAAAAAACUGCACAUAACCCUGGGGAUGGUUUUGGAAUUUCUGUAGCAUGUUCAAACAAAACAACAUUUUUUUUAGGUAGAAACUUAGAAGCAGAAAUUUAGAGAAACCUUAGGAUGUUUACUCUCUGCUUAUUAAAGCUACACAUAACCCUUUACUACAAAAGUGAAUUAUAUGUCUAGAUCAAAAGCCAAACUCAUCGUUAAGCAUGCUAGUAAAUUUAUACAAUAGCUCACGGAAAACUUUUAUCAAUUCAGUAACUCCUACAGUUUGUAUGACUAGUGAUGUCCCAUGCCAAAGCCAGGGACUGGUUGGAUAAGGAGUCAGAAAAUAUUUGUUAUUAAAAAAAAAACAAACCAAAACUGGAACUACCCUGGCAUGUGGCACUGGUUUGAAGUAAGGCAGUAAGUGGUGAAAUUAAUUUAUGUCUAGUAAUGACAACUUGAUCAAGGAACCACCUUUCACAAAAGGUCUUCAGCAAAUCAGGAAACACAGGAAUGCUGUAGAAACCAUUUUGAAAGCCUAAGCUGAAAUCCACUUCUGUGGUGGAAACCAGAAAAUUGAAGUUAAGAAAUUAGUUUCAAUUUUGCAUUACAGAUCUCUUAAAAAUGAUAGUCUCAUGCUCCUUGCACUGCAUAACAUUUUUCCUUAUAUGUUUUGUACUUUUCAAAAAAUGUUAUUUCUUCUUAACUGCAUUAUUUCUAAUUGGAAAUGUUUCCUUCAAGCCUUCUCAGAUAAAUAUCUUUCGGAUACCUUUAGUUUAGAAAAAACUAACCUGUACUACAAUGACGUCACUACAAAAGCCAAAACCACCUUAUGCCCCUCUGUCAUCUUCUAGUGCUGCUUUGUUAGGACCUCCAAAUCACUUGCCUCCUUGAAGGGUCAGCUGCUGAGGGUCAGGAUGCCCGACCCCACACCCCAGGACGUUCUGCAUGGCCACCCUCCUCCAUACCCUGCCCAUGACCCUCCCCAGCCCGUGGUCAUUGCUGCUUUGCCUUUGCUACAGACUGUUCCAGUUGUAUCCCUCCCACCUGAUGCUGGUCUGCAGCCCACCUGCAACCCAGCAGGCACAGUCAGGCUGAGGUCUCUCACCUGACGAGGGCUCUUCUGGGGAACACUUUGAAAACCAUGGACCUGUGAGUAGUGUUUCCAUUUUUUAAUGACUGAAGAAGACAUCUCGGGGCUCCAGGCUUCUUUUGGGAGGAAAGUGAGCUAUGGAUUUGAAUGAGUGCCAGCACUAUAAAUGAGGCUAUUAUGGGUAGUGCUGGUUUUCUGAAGACAUGCUGUUGGUGGAGGUGCUGGUGAGAGACAUGACACAGUGAGGGCCAAGCUGUGCAGCCUUAUGGCAUGUGUGUUGGCAGCCCUUGGCAAUUGGCAGGAGUGGUCUCUCUAACAUAUGGGUCAUGCAGACAACAUGAGGAAUAGCUAAGCUUCCAAAACUACAUUCCUUGGUAUCUGAGUGCCCUGGAGGGGAAAUGAAGAGCUAGAAAACAUGAUGGCAGAGAAAGUGGCCUCCAGAGCCCAGUCCUGGGUACUGUGACAGUGUAGGUGCAGCCAGAAAUUGCUGAGAAACACUCUUUUACUAAUUUUGUAUAUUAGAAUAUUUUAAAACCUUCUGGUUUUGCAUAGAAAUGAAUCACAGGGUUCUGUUUCUGAGAGACCAAGAUCAAAAAAGGAAACCACAUGGACUGGGAGCAGGAACUCUUAAUUUGUGGUCUUUUGUUUUUAAAACAAACCAAGCCUGCAGACCUCAGUAUUGCAUAAUCCCAUGCUCAGGAAUUUUGUUCUGAACUUUGGCUUUAGGAGAUUACCAUAUGAGCUUCUACUUCAAAUCUAAUUAUUCCCUAAUCUAUGUAUUUCUUUCUACACACAGAUCUCACCAAUGAGAAUAGAAGAUGUAGACCACGGAAGACUGAGGCUUUAUGUCUCAAAUGACCACAUAUUUUGAGAUGCAGUUUGGUGGAAAAUCUGUCUCCAAAACAGGGUAAAAGCCCCGGUCACUGAAAAAUGAGCCCAAAGAGGAAAGACAGCCCAAGGCAACCCAGCCACGUCCUGCUGCAGAGGAGAACAGAAAAGAUGGCAAGCGAGAUGAGGGUAUUUUCCAGAGUUCCUGAAAAGCCCUUCUGCAUGUGACCCUGUGAACAGACUCACCAUGUGUGGAGAAUGGAAUUAGUGUUACUGUGAGUGAUGUAUUUUGGCAAACAACUCUGGCUAGCUAUGGGAAUUUCUGAGUAAACUCCCUGUUGUUUCAUGUUUCCAAGCCUGGACUUUCUGCAGGCCACAGAGUUGGGACACAAAAUCAGGCUGGUGCCUGCUAAGGAUCCAAGAAAUGACAAACAACAGAUAAAUUGAAUUCAAAGGACAUCUGCACAGCCAUUUUUUCCAUCAUCACCUCUGGUCUUCUACAAGAGUGGUUCAUGCAAAUUAAGACAUACAAACAAGAAGUGCUCAGAAAGUGAGUGAUCAAGAGGUUAGCAGCACCUGUAGGAAACUGGAAAUCGUGACAGUGCAAGUGAACCUCCAUGGAGUCAGUUGGCGUGAAGAAGACCGAACUUAGGAACUGGAUUUUAGUGCUUGGACUGGUAUUCCAGAAGACGUUUGCACUAUCCUCACUUCUGCCUCAACUGUUUUCUAGAGUGGAAAUCAACUCAUUGGACUAAGAGCUGUCUCAGGCACUCAUCAGUGGGAGAGUAUAAGUGGUGUAUGCAUGUUCUGUGCCAUUAACAGUUGAUAGAGUGUAAUUUACUGCUGUCAGUGUGGCUAUUGUUCCUAAUCUACAAAACUUCAAAAAGUUUUAGAACAGUUUUAUGCACAAGAAUUUCAAAAAGAGAGACUAACCUUAUCCUGCAGCACCCCAGCACUCGGUCUUGGUGUUUUCCUUUCUCAACAUUUCACAUGUUCUGUGACUUGGCCUCAUCUUAAGACCCUGCAGAUGAAGUCUUUGCAAUUUGCAAUUAAUCAUUUUGCUGUUGCUUGCAAGGGAAUAGGAUUUUAUCUCUAGGAUAAAGGGAGGACCUUUCCUCUCCUUGCUCCAAGGGACAGACAUAAACACAUAAGCAAGGGCAUGAUGGAGGAGGGAGACGGGGUGUUUCCUCUCUGAUGCCCUCUGUUUCUCCUUCCUUCAGUACUGUGGGGAGAAGCUGUAAGGAGGCUGCAGGCAUGAUCCUGGCUGCUUGGGUGGGGCAGGAUCAAAUAGGGAAGACCAACAGCUUUUUCCUCAGUCCAUCAACAAUAAAUCUUACAGGCCUGGUCAUGUGCUGAUAUUGCUGUGGCCAUAAACACCAAUGUUGAGUUGUUACUUGGGGCUGGGAGGAAUUUCAUCCCGCAUUUGAAAGGGUUAAUAUUUGUGGUGAGUCUUUCUGAAAAAGGGUAUCCAUGGUGGGGUUUUUUGUAGUCACACAACUUCUUUGUCACAUGGUUUUAUACAGUGAGGCUGAGAAUUGGAGUAGUGGUACAAGGAAUUUGAAACAAAGCCCUGAAUUUUAAUUAUUCCAGGCAGGCAGAGGAGUUCUCUCUCUCUAUGAAUGAUAUUUAGGGAUUUCUGCAGCUGAAUGCCAUUAUCAAAGACAACAUUUCGAAUGAAUAGCCCUACACAUAUUCUCCAUGGCUGCCAUAUGAGUAACUAUGAACACUUCUCGAUCUUCCUCUUCCCACUCCCCUCUCCCACCUCAGCUAAAGCACAAACACUCAUUUCAGGACUAAAUAUAUACUCUUAAAUAACUUCUGACAUUUCUUUGUUGCUGCCUAAUGAAGGCUGGGUUGAUGAGCUAGAGAGAAGUUUUAUAUAAGCCCUUGUUGAGAUGUUGUUGUAGGAUCGGAAGUGGGCAGCACCGACAAUUGUUAGCAUUUGUCUCUGGAGUUUAUUUAACUGCAGGUCUGUAAGUCUGCAUGUCUGCUUGGCAUACAGGGCUUUGUUGUAUUGGUUUUCAGCCUCAGUGAUGUGUCAUGGUCCUGAGGACUGCGGGGUUCAAAAAGCAAGCCACACUGCUGUCCCCGCUGUGCUAACAAGGGGUUUCUGUGUGCCCUUGUUUGGAAGGAGAUGUCCCACCAGG
Corvus hawaiiensis (hawaiian crow) is the source of this 7768-nucleotide long non-coding RNA. RefSeq lists it as uncharacterized. The record is from RefSeq and is a predicted model, not a curated record. The transcript is spliced from 8 exons. NCBI's taxonomy places the organism in Eukaryota, Metazoa, Chordata, Aves, Passeriformes, Corvidae.